AUGCUGGCGGCGUGCCUAACACAUGCAAGUCGAGCGGCAGCGAGUUUUACACUGAAUUCUGGAAGCUUCUGGGUAAUAUAGAAGAUUUAUUCAAGAAUUUUGUGUAAAAUGUCGGCGAGCGGCGGACGGCUGAGUAACGCGUAGGAAUUUACCUCAAAGUGAGGAAUAACUGCCCGAAAGGGUAGCUAAUGCCGCAUAUGGUCUUCGGAUUAAAGCCUUCGGGCGCUUUGGGAGAAGCCUGCGUUGGAUUAGGUAGUUGGUAGGGUAAUGGCCUACCAAGCCGACGAUCCAUAGCUGGUCUGAGAGGAUGAUCAGCCAGACUGGAACUGAGACACGGUCCAGACUCCUACGGGAGGCAGCAGUGAGGAAUCUUCCACAAUGGGCGAAAGCCUGAUGGAGCAACGCCGCGUGAAGGAUGAAGGCCUUCGGGUUGUAAACUUCUUUUAUGAGUGAAGAAUAUGACGGUAACUCAUGAAUAAGCACCGGCUAACUACGUGCCAGCAGCCGCGGUCAUACGUAGGGUGCGAGCAUUAUCCGGAGUGACUGGGCGUAAAGAGUUGCGUAGGCGGUUUAAUAAGUGAAUAGUGAAACCUGGUGGCUCAACCAUACAGACUAUUAUUCAAACUGUUAAACUCGAGAAUGGUAGAGGUAACUGGAAUUUCUAGUGUAGGAGUGAAAUCCGUAGAUAUUAGAAGGAACACCGAUGGCGUAGGCAGGUUACUGGGCCAUUUCUGACGCUAAGGCACGAAAGCGUGGGGAGCGAACCGGAUUAGAUACCCGGGUAGUCCACGCCGUAAACGAUGGAUACUAGCUGUUGGAGGUAUCGACCCCUUCAGUAGCGAAGCUAACGCGUUAAGUAUCCCGCCUGUGGAGUACGGCCGCAAGGCUAAAACAUAAAGGAAUUGACGGGGACCCGCAC
Molecule: ribosomal RNA, 919 nt
Filed under: uncultured bacterium
Lineage: Bacteria
Description: bacterial SSU rRNA
Rfam family: Bacterial small subunit ribosomal RNA
Source: RNAcentral